GACGAACGCUGGCGGCGUGCCUAAUACAUGCAAGUAGAACGCUGAAGAGAGGAGCUUGCUCUUCUUGGAUGAGUUGCGAACGGGUGAGUAACGCGUAGGUAACCUGCCUUGUAGCGGGGGAUAACUAUUGGAAACGAUAGCUAAUACCGCAUAACAAUGGAUGACCCAUGUCAUUUAUUUGAAAGGGGCAAAUGCUCCACUACAAGAUGGACCUGCGUUGUAUUAGCUAGUAGGUGAGGUAACGGCUCACCUAGGCGACGAUACAUAGCCGACCUGAGAGGGUGAUCGGCCACACUGGGACUGAGACACGGCCCAGACUCCUACGGGAGGCAGCAGUAGGGAAUCUUCGGCAAUGGGGGCAACCCUGACCGAGCAACGCCGCGUGAGUGAAGAAGGUUUUCGGAUCGUAAAGCUCUGUUGUAAGUCAAGAACGAGUGUGAGAGUGGAAAGUUCACACUGUGACGGUAGCUUACCAGAAAGGGACGGCUAACUACGUGCCAGCAGCCGCGGUAAUACGUAGGUCCCGAGCGUUGUCCGGAUUUAUUGGGCGUAAAGCGAGCGCAGGCGGUUUGAUAAGUCUGAAGUUAAAGGCUGUGGCUCAACCAUAGUUCGCUUUGGAAACUGUCAAACUUGAGUGCAGAAGGGGAGAGUGGAAUUCCAUGUGUAGCGGUGAAAUGCGUAGAUAUAUGGAGGAACACCGGUGGCGAAAGCGGCUCUCUGGUCUGUAACUGACGCUGAGGCUCGAAAGCGUGGGGAGCGAACAGGAUUAGAUACCCUGGUAGUCCACGCCGUAAACGAUGAGUGCUAGGUGUUGGAUCCUUUCCGGGAUUCAGUGCCGCAGCUAACGCAUUAAGCACUCCGCCUGGGGAGUACGACCGCAAGGUUGAAACUCAAAGGAAUUGACGGGGGCCCGCACAAGCGGUGGAGCAUGUGGUUUAAUUCGAAGCAACGCGAAGAACCUUACCAGGUCUUGACAUCCCGAUGCUAUUUCUAGAGAUAGAAAGUUACUUCGGUACAUCGGUGACAGGUGGUGCAUGGUUGUCGUCAGCUCGUGUCGUGAGAUGCUGGGUUAAGUCCCGCAACGAGCGCAACCCCUAUUGUUAGUUGCCAUCAUUCAGUUGGGCACUCUAGCGAGACUGCCGGUAAUAAACCGGAGGAAGGUGGGGAUGACGUCAAAUCAUCAUGCCCCUUAUGACCUGGGCUACACACGUGCUACAAUGGUUGGUACAACGAGUUGCGAGUCGGUGACGGCAAGCUAAUCUCUUAAAGCCAAUCUCAGUUCGGAUUGUAGGCUGCAACUCGCCUACAUGAAGUCGGAAUCGCUAGUAAUCGCGGAUCAGCACGCCGCGGUGAAUACGUUCCCGGGCCU
This 1369-nucleotide ribosomal RNA is filed under the name uncultured bacterium. Its description in RNAcentral is "bacterial SSU rRNA". It matches the Rfam family "Bacterial small subunit ribosomal RNA", at positions 28 to 1381 of the family's 1533-position model. The record is from RNAcentral.